UCUUUUAUUCCUUCGGUAAUAAAAAACACCAUUUAUAUUUAGAGAAAGUAAGAGCUUAAAAGAACCAAAGACAACAAUACACAAAUAACUGUAACAAUGGUCGGAGAUACAUGCUGAGUUUUUGCACAUCAGAGGCAUGCAAGAGCUUCAGAGGCAUGCUUAGAUUCAAUCUUCAGACUCAGUUUUAGAGUCAUUCUUCAGACCUAGUUAUCAGACCCAAAAAUCAAACCUAGAAAUUAGAGACAAUCUUCGUAACCUUUAGAGGCAUGUUACUUUCAGAGGGAUAUGUUCAGAGGUAGACGCGUAUACUUUUUGUUCCUCUGAUCUCAUCCUUUGAUCACUUCUUCUAGUGACUUCCUCUGUGCACUUCCUCUAAUGACUUUUCUCUAAUAACAAAAGAGUAAUUAUAUGGUAAAGAUAAACAACAAACAAAUUUAUUGUAUAAGAGAAAAAAUUCCUUGACGUUUUCUAUUUGUUUUUUGUUACCGAUACUGCCUCCGAUUUCUUCCUCUUCUCCUUCUGUAAAAGUGUUUUUUUUAAGAAGAGUUAAUUUGAUCCCUUUUUGAAAAUAAAUAAAAUUGUAUUUAUAGAGUUUUUU
This is a non-coding RNA of Cicer arietinum (chickpea), 598 nucleotides long. The record is from RefSeq and is a predicted model, not a curated record. NCBI's taxonomy places the organism in Eukaryota, Viridiplantae, Streptophyta, Magnoliopsida, Fabales, Fabaceae.